UGAUCCCUUUCGCUGUAUAGAAUGCUCGUUUGGGUUGGGCGUCGGCUAAGAGUGCUCGGAGCGUGGAUUAAUUCCAGUCUCCUAUCAGGUGUGUAUUUCUCACUACUCUAGCUGUAGGAUGGCUACUUCGGGCCGCGAUGGGCCGAAAGGGGCUAUGUGGGCCCAAUGGGCCCGUAGGCCCAAUUGGAUAAGUUGUUUGAUUGUGUAGUAAAUAUUGGACUAGGCUAGGUGAAUCUCAUAUUUGUGACUAGAUUUGGGCUAAAAGGGUCACACGAGCGUGUGGGCCCAUUUGGGCCGAGAAUAGGCUUUAGGCCCAUUCGUAUUGUUAUCCCUAUUUAGAAUACUUUAGUUUACCAAAUUACUGAAAUGCCCUCAAUUUGUAGAAUUACCAUUUUACCCUCGAUUCAUAGAAUUAUCAUUUUACCCUCAAUUUAUAGAAUUACCAUUUUACCCUUGAUUUACAGAAUUACCAUUUUACCCUCGAUCAGUAAAAUUACCAAAACACCCUAGUCUGUAAAAUUGUUAAAAUACCCCUGGUUUGUAAAAUUACCAAAAUACCCCUAGUUUGUAAAGUUACCAAAAUACCACUAGUUUGUGAAAUUACCGAAAUACCCUCAAUUUGUAAAAUUACCAAAAUACCCCUGAUUUACAAAAUUACAGAAAUAUCAUUGACUUUUUAAAAAUUAUAGAAAUACCAUUGGUUUACAAAAUUACUGAAAUACCCUUGGUUUGUAGAUUUACCAAAACACCCUUAUAGGAUGAAACGACUAAAAUACCCCUAAUAGGUAAAAAGACCGUAAAGCCCCUGUAGGGUAAAGUGACCGUAAUACCCUUGUAUGGUAAAAUGACGAAUAUGCCCUUAUGUUCCAUAUGACUGAUGUGCUUAGGAUUUACAUAUAUUGAUAUUGGAUUAGUUAAGUUUGAGUGACAGGUGGUGGUUAUCGUAGGUGAUUGAUUAUGGAAACGUUUUAACUUCAACCCAUAACAGGUGUGUACUAACCCUCGUAAUAGCUUAGAUUAAUAUUUGUUGAGAAGCCCAAAUGCUAAAAUACCGGUAUUUCGGGAACUUGUAAUGUUGUGUUUGGGUAUAGAUGCGAUAAAUAUGAUAUGAUCGGUGUUUGGAUCGAUGGAACAGGCAAGAACUCAAUUUUGUGCACGAUGGUAAGUUGGGCCUCAAUGGGCUGGAAUCGGGCCCAAUGGGCUUCGGGCCCAAUUGGGUAAAAUUGAUAGAAAAUGGAAUCUGGAAAAGUUGCAUGUUAACACAAUUAGUACUGUUGUAAAAUUUGGAUUAUGUGGGCUUAAUGGGCUAAAUCGGCAUUCGUAGGGCCCAUUAGAGGUUUUGGGCCCAAAAGCCCGAGUUUGAUAAAGUGGGUUAAAGAUCAUUAUUUAAACACUCGAAAAUAUUGAUAAUUGUUGAUGAACAUGGAAAACCCUGAUAUUUGGUAAAAUUACAAAUUACCCUUAUAAUGUGAAAAUGACUGUUUUUCCCCUAGGGUUUAUUUAUAAAUUUGAUACGUGGGGUAUGAUAUACAUGAUUGAUAUGAUAUGCACAUGAUAUGUAUAAUAUGCACAUGAUAUGUAUGAAAUGCACAUGAUAAAUUCAUAAAUGCAUUAGGUUGGGUUUUUAUAUGGAUGGAGGAAGUGCAAAAGGGCUUAUGCCCCAGUUUAUUGAAAAGGGCUUAUGCCCCAGUUUACCGAAAAGGGCUUAUGCCCCAGUUUAUUGAAAAAGGGCUUAUGCCCCAGUUUACUGAAAAGGGCUUAUGCUCCAGUUUAUUGAAAAAUACUUUGCCCCAGUUUACCGAAAAGGGCUUUGCCCCAGUUAUUAAAGAGGCUAGGCCUCCAGAUAUAUGAUAAAGCAGCUAUGCAGCCAGUGGUGUGUUGGUUGGGUGGGUUGAGUUAUUCCCCACAUGGUGUGUUGGUUGGUACAGGUGGAGAGUAGCAGAUGGUGGGUUGAGUAGUCUCCCCAAAUAGGCUUGCAUACAUUUAUUGGUAUUUCAUGUGAUAUUGAAAUGGGCUUGCAUACAUUCAUUGAUAUUUCAUGUGUUAUUGAAAUGGGCCUAUGGGCCAUACUGUUUACAAUAAAGGCUUCGGCCUAGUAACCGUUAAACGAAAGGCUUCGACCCAGUAUAUGUCGAGACUAAAUAGGGCUUUGGCCCAGAUUGUACUGAUACUGUGUUUUCACUGUUUGUUUGUUAUUGGUAUUACACACUGAGUUUUUGUAAACUCACCCCGUUUCUAACUGUGCAGGUAAUCCCUAAGCUUAGAUGGUUUGGAGCUGCGAGGGACUCGGAGAUGGCCACACUACUGUUUCUGUUUCUUUUAAUUGCAAUAAGUAGCCGAUUUAUUUCUUUAUAAGUUUUAUCUUAUUAAUAUUAUUGUUUGGUUUUGG
RNAcentral lists this long non-coding RNA (2389 nucleotides) under Gossypium barbadense (sea-island cotton). Its description in RNAcentral is "long non-coding RNA (GBAR_LNC001325)". Lineage: Eukaryota; Viridiplantae; Streptophyta; Magnoliopsida; Malvales; Malvaceae. The record is from RNAcentral.